Molecule: ribosomal RNA, 433 nt
Filed under: uncultured bacterium
Lineage: Bacteria
Description: partial 16S ribosomal RNA
Rfam family: Bacterial small subunit ribosomal RNA
Source: RNAcentral
AACGAACGCUGGCGGCAUGCCUAACACAUGCAAGUCGAACGAGACCUUCGGGUCUAGUGGCGCACGGGUGCGUAACGCGUGGGAACCUGCCCUUAGGUUCGGAAUAACUCCCCGAAAGGGGUGCUAAUACCGGAUAAUGUCUUCGGACCAAAGAUUUAUCGCCUUUGGAUGGGCCCGCGUUGGAUUAGCUAGUUGGCAGGGUAAAAGCCUACCAAGGCGACGAUCCAUAGCUGGUCUGAGAGGAUGAUCAGCCACACUGGGACUGAGACACGGCCCAGACUCCUACGGGAGGGAGCAGUGGGGAAUAUUGGACAAUGGGCGAAAGCCUGAUCCAGCAAUGCCGCGUGAGUGAUGAAGGCCUUAGGGUUGUAAAGCUCUUUUACCCGGGAUGAUAAUGACAGUACCGGGAGAAUAAGCUCCGGCUAACUCCGUG